UACGCCAGUAUGUGUGGAGCCGUCCUUGAAAUACCACCCUUGUAGUGUUGAUGUUCUAACGUCGACCCCUUAUCGGGGUUGCGGACAGUGCCUGGUGGGUAGUUUGACUGGGGCGGUCUCCUCCCAAAGAGUAACGGAGGAGCACGAAGGUGGGCUAAUCACGGUUGGACAUCGUGAGGUUAGUGCAAUGGCAUAAGCCCGCUUGACUGCGAGAAUGACAAUUCGAGCAGGUGCGAAAGCAGGUCAUAGUGAUCCGGUGGUUCUGAAUGGAAGGGCCAUCGCUCAACGGAUAAAAGGUACUCCGGGGAUAACAGGCUGAUACCGCCCAAGAGUUCAUAUCGACGGCGGUGUUUGGCACCUCGAUGUCGGCUCAUCACAUCCUGGGGCUGAAGUCGGUCCCAAGGGUAUGGCUGUUCGCCAUUUAAAGUGGUACGCGAGCUGGGUUUAGAACGUCGUGAGACAGUUCGGUCCCUAUCUGCCGUGGGCGUUGGAAGAUUGAAGGGGGCUGCUCCUAGUACGAGAGGACCGGAGUGGACGAACCUCUGGUGUUCGGGUUGUGUCGCCAGACGCAUUGCCCGGUAGCUAAGUUCGGAAUCGAUAACCGCUGAAAGCAUCUAAGCGGGAAGCGAGCCCUGAGAUGAGUCUUCCCUGAUACUUUAAGUAUCCUAAAGGGUUGUCGGAGACUACGACGUUGAUAGGUCAGGUGUGUAAGUGCUGUGAGGCAUUGAGCUAACUGAUACUAAUUGCCCGUGAGGCUUAACCAUACAACAC
RNAcentral lists this ribosomal RNA (771 nucleotides) under Vibrio parahaemolyticus. RNAcentral's name for it is "partial 23S ribosomal RNA". It matches the Rfam family "Bacterial large subunit ribosomal RNA", at positions 2167 to 2925 of the family's 2925-position model. The record is from RNAcentral. Lineage: Bacteria; Pseudomonadati; Pseudomonadota; Gammaproteobacteria; Vibrionales; Vibrionaceae.